RNAcentral lists this long non-coding RNA (7125 nucleotides) under Eucalyptus grandis. Its description in RNAcentral is "long non-coding RNA (EGRA_LNC006686)". The record is from RNAcentral. Lineage: Eukaryota; Viridiplantae; Streptophyta; Magnoliopsida; Myrtales; Myrtaceae.
GCUGGAAGUGAUUAUCACCAAUGGGGAAUCAAUCCAUUGGAACCAUCUGAGGGGUUUCUGUGAGUUCUCAAAAUGGGAUGAUGUCGGAAAGAAUUUGAAGAAAUUGCAAUUUCCUUACUACAAUAUUAAGAGAAAAGAGCAUUGUCAGUACACUUAGUAUUUCCACAUCAAGCGAUAAAAAACGGCAUAUAAAGGAGAACUAUAACAGUUAUAUCUAGAAAACGCGGCAAUAUUCAAUGAGCUAAAACCAACAUAGCAAAGAAGCUCAACCAGACUGCAAACCUAGAAAAUCUGAAAGGCCGUGAAUUGGAAAUGAGAGACUUGCUCCAAGGAUUGGAAGAACAUAGAAAAUUGCAAUGCUUAACUGAGCAGAACAUGCUUCUGUAAUUUGAUUCUGUUCGAACUAGUCAAAACACAUUUAUAACUUUCACAAUGCAAUGUUAGGAAGGUAAAGAACCCAUGCAUGCACACGAGCUAUAUGCUCGAUGCAUUGGAAACAUUUGGUGGACCGGUGAACCUGCUUGUUUGUCAUGAUUCUGAUCCAGCAGUUGAACACGCAUCAAUGUAUAUAUCUUAGGUGACAGGGUCGAGGUACAUUGGAGAACGAGCAAAAGGUACCAUAACUUCGUAUAAAACUUGCCUGUUUGUCCAGCAAAGUGUUGGAAGAUAUGCAGAAUCACGGAUUGCACAAUCAAGGAUCCGGAUUGAUUAUUGAUUUGAUUUGAAGAUUAGAAUUAUGUACAUAAUCAAUUAAGAUUAGAUCUAGCUAUAGAUUGAUUUGUAGAAUCAUUUAUUCCCUUUAUUUUUCAUACAGCUUGUAUUAUAUUUACAACAAGAAUUGUACAGAUUCAUCAUUGAAGUAAAUAGAAAGAAAACUGUUCCUUCUUCUUUCAUGGUAUCAGAGCAGCCGAUUCUCUGAACCUAGCUUCCGCUUCCGCUCAGAAUUUUCUCUCCUUGCUGUGACUUUCUGAUCCUGAAGUUCUGACCUGCAAAAAAGGGUUUCUUUUUCAGGCAUAUUGUCACGCUCAGAAAAUUUUACUCACCAUGGCGAAUUUGCAAGAUGAAGUAUCCACCACCAGGAACCAAUCUGCUGGUUAAGUUAUUCCAGCCGCUGGAAGCACUGCUCAGACAUCGAUUUCACCUGUUACAACUCAAACAACAACGCAAAUGUUGUUUCCAACUCAGCCCGUGCAAUGGCGGCCCACCCCGGCUCAGUUCACUAUGGGGCAGCCCAUGACGGGCCAGCCUUUCCAAUGGAUUCCAUAUCCAAUCUAUGUUGGGUCAAACCCAAACUCUUCAUUGCUUGGGUAUGUGGGCCACCAAAGCCACGUCCAAACCGACGGGGGUCCGCCAGCCACAGAAGGGGCAAACCCGACCGACGGAGUGGAGCGGAUACACAGGUCGAGUGAACCGGGUACGGGUAUGAAUCCCUACCCGGGAUUUUUGAAUGCGGAUUUUUCAUUCGGGUCGAAUGAAUCGGGCCAAGGGACGAAUCCCUACCCGAAUCAUACGCCCGGGUUUCUGCCCUUUCCAGCGGCGGCCUUCGCCAGACGGCCAGAACUCAGCGACCCCUUGUUCGUUUCCACAGCCGACGGACCAGAGCUGCGACUAAUCAGUCAACAACUGACCGGGCCAGAGACUUACCCCAAGUGGUCGCAAGAGUUCCGACGUGCCCUAGCGACAAAGGACAAGGAUGGAUUUCUCGAUGGAACCAUCCCAAUCCCUACCGACGAGCGUCUAGCACGGCUCUGGAGGAAGAGCAACCGCCUGGUCCGAACUUGGAUCGGCAAUUGUCUCUCCACAGAGGUCUCGGCUGGACUCCCACCGACUGAAGACGCCAAAGGGAUGUGGGAUAAUAUCAAGGAGAUGUACGGGAGGUUGGAUCAAGCAAAAAUAUUCACCCUCAUGCAAGAACUCAGUGAUUUAAAACAAGGGAAUUCGACGGUCACAGCUUGCUUCAACAAAUUAUCAUCGUUAUGGAACAGCCUCGAAGCAGCAGAAGAAAAACUCGAGGGUCCCGAAUCCACACUCCGACAGUACAAAUCCAUCAAAGACAGGGAGAAAGCGACGCGUUUUUUGCUCAUUUUAAACGACAACUUUCUUACCUUUCGCUCGUAGAUCUUGGCUAUGGAUCCCAUGCCAUCAAUCGGGCGAAUUUAUCAACUAGCGGUGCAAGAGGAAAGCCAGCAAUUCGCAUCACCAAAGAACGCGAAGAGUGGCGAGAGUAUCGCUCUUGCAGUCCACAAGGAGCGAAAAGAUGGAACCCAGAAAACCCUAGCAGAGAAGAGACGUGGCGUGCUAGGGUUUCGCGGAGAAGGGUUGCGGGCCUAUAAAUCAGAAGGGAUGAACGGCUCUGAUCGAGCGCGUAUAUCCGACGGCUCACAGGAGACCGAUCAUUUAAAAGGAUCGGACGGCCCAGAUGAACUCGCGACAAAAGGAACCGACGGACAGAUUUUUGCCACAUCAUCCAGGAAUUUCGGGCAAAAUUUUAAAGGGAAAGGUAGAUUAUUUUGUGACUAUUGCAAGCGUUCUAAUCACUCAAUUGACAGUUGUUGGAAGCUGCACGGGAAACCAGCGGAAAAAGGAAAAAGAAUUUCAGCGGCAUACCAAUUGAGUGGAUCUCCCGGCCCAAAUUCUGAUCAUACCAUUACCUAUGGACAGUACCAGCAACUGAUGCAAGCUUUGCAGAAAUUGGAUGUUUCUGACAAAGGAGGCAGUUUUUCAAGUAUCACGCAUGGCUUGAUUAAUUCUAUAUCAAGAAAAGCAUGGAUUAUUGACUCAGGGGCAACUGAUCAUAUUAUAUGUGACAAGAGUCUUUUCUCAAGAAUAGAUGAGGAAUUGAAUUUUCCCAUUUCCGUACAAUUGCCUAAUGGGAAUAUUAGUCAUAUUCGUGUGACAAGAACGGUUAAUCUCAGUCCUCAAAUUAUUCUUAAAAAUGUCCUUUAUGUCCCAGAAUUCCAGUUCAAUCUCAUUUCCGUAUCAAAAGUCUGCCAAGAGAAUUCAUGUCGAGUGAUAUUCAAUGCUGAUACCUGUUUAUUUCAGGCCCUUUCAACUGGCAGACUGAUGGGCUGGGGUAAUAUUUCAGAAGGACUAUUUUUUUGGUCAAGACUCCCAAGUAAUUUUGAUUUAUCCAGCUUUCCAUUAAAUAAAUCCUCCUUGUGUAAUUUGAGCUUGAAUGAUAAAAGUUCUCUUAUGCAUAUGAGAUUAGGCCACAGUGCCACCUUUCCUUAUCCUAAAUGUCCUAUUUGUCCACUAGCAAAACAGUCUCGUUCCCCUUUUCCAUCUAGUAAUUCUCGUGCUAGACAAAUCUUUUCACUGAUACAUGUUGAUAUAUGGGGACCUUAUCAUAAGGUUAAUUAUGAUGGAUCACGUUAUUUCCUCACAAUAGUAGACGAUCAUUCUCGUGCGACAUGGAUUUUCUUGAUGCAAUCAAAGGCUCAGACUUACUCUUAUUUAAAGACAUUUAUUGCCUUAUCCAAAAAUCAGUUUGGAAAAUCAAUCCAGAGAAUUCGAACUGAUAAUGGAGCGGAAUUUUUCAGUCACAAUUGUUCCAUGCUUUUCUCAUCUCAUGGCAUCCAGCAUGAGAGUUCAUGCACUUAUACACCACAACAAAAUGGAGUGGUUGAGCGCAAGCAUCGGCACCUUUUGGAAGUCGCACGUGCCUUGAAGUUUCAAGCUUCAGUACCAGAUGAUUAUUGGGGAAAUUGUGUCAUCACAGCAGCUUAUUUGAUCAAUCAUAUGCCCACCAAGAUACUGGACAAACACCAUUCGAGCUACUCUAUGGAAGAAAACCAGAUUUACAACAUCUCAAAAUCUUCGGAUGUCUUUGCUAUGCUACAACAUUGGGCUCUCGAGACAAGUUGAGCCCACGUGCUCGGAAAUGCAUUUUCAUGGGAUAUCCUAAUCUGCAGAAGGGGUAUCGAGUUCUUGAUAUAUCAACAAAGGAGUUUCUUAUAAGCCGUGAUGUAUCUUUCCAUGAAGAUAUAUUCCCCUUUUCCAACAUGGGGGAACCAAAUGAGAAUCUCGACAUCAAUUCUAAUUCUCAUCGUCUCUCACAUGACGACGCAAUAUCUCCAGACCAUGGUUACAUACCACUGGUUCAAUCAAGGAAUCCAUCUUACACUCCUACAAUAAUUCCAGGAGAGAUACCAUCUAUACUGGAGAAUCCAUCAUCAUCAGCAAACCUGACAGAAGAGGAAGUUGAAGAUGCAAGCAAUAUUGCGGAAGAAGUUGGCCAUGAUAUCUCGCCACCCACCUCCAAUGAAACAAUUCCCACUUCUGAUGGAGAUCAUCCAAGACGCUCUCGUCGGGCCACUCGACCUCCGACGUGGACCAAGGACUAUAUCUGUGCCACUCACAACUCUCCAGGUAUUCAAUAUCCUGUCUCCUCCUAUGUUUCCUUUCAUAGAUUAUCAGAGGAACAUAGAUGCUGCAUUAGUCGCCUAUCAGAAGAACAGGAACCAUCUAGUUAUGAUAAGGUAGCUGUUGAUCCUAGAUGGUAGCAAGCCAUGGCAGCAGAGUUAAAGGCAUUGAAUGACAACCACACAUGGGAUCUUGUCUCAUUGCCACCUAAUCGGAAACCAAUUGGGUGCAAAUGGGUAUACAAGAUUAAAUAUCGUGCAGAUGGAUCAAUUGAACGGUACAAGGCACGCUUGGUAGCAAAGGGAUUUACUCAGCGAGAAGGUUUUGACUACCACGAGACCUUUUCCCCAGUUGCCAAAGAUGUCACAGUUCGCUCUUUUUUUACCAUCGCCGCCAUCAAUGAUUGGAGUCUGCAUCAAAUGGACGUGCAUAAUGCCUUUCUCCAUGGUGAUUUAGAUGAAGAGAUAUAUAUGGAUGUUCCUCUGGGUUUACGGAGACAGGGGGAGAAUAGAGUGUGUCGUCUCCGCAAAUCCCUUUAUGGGUUGAAGCAAGCAUCCAGACAAUGGUAUGCAAAAUUUGCAAAUGCUCUUACGAAAGCUGGGUUCCAACAAUCAAAGCAUGACUAUGCAUUGUUCACAAGGAACAGAGGUAUGUCAUCUAUCUUUUUGAUGAUAUAUGUCGAUGAUAUUCUUCUUAUGGGAAAUGAUAAGGCUGCCAUAGAAAGAUUCAAGGAAUAUUUGCAUGCUACCUUUCAUAUGAAGGACUUAGGAGCACCUAAAUAUUUCCUUGGAAUCGAAAUUGCUCGAUCCGAUUUAGGAAUCUCCCUCAGUCAACGAAAGUUCAUAUUGGAGAUUAUAUCAGAAGCAGGGCUAUCAGGAUGUAAACCAGCAGCAAUUCCCAUCGAGCAGAACACUAAAUUGACUUCUGCAGCUUACGAUGAAGGUAUAUCCAAAGAUGACGAUCCCAUACUCAAAGAUCCAUCUGGAUAUCAAAGGCUUGUUGGGAAACUUAUAUAUCUGACAAUGACGAGGCCGGACAUCUCUUAUGCAGUACAAACAUUGAGCCAGUUCAUGCAUAGCCCAAAACAGUCUCAUUUCGAUGCAGCUUUGAAGAUUGUAAAAUAUUUAAAGAAAUGUCCAGGACUUGGGAUACUUCUGUCAAAGAAAUGUGACAUGAAGAUGACGGCAUUUUGUGAUGCAGACUAUGCAACAUGUCCUAUAAGUCGAAGAUCAGUCACAGGAUAUUGCAUUAAAUUUGGGGAAUCACUUCUUUCAUGGAAGACCAAGAAGCAACCCACUGUGUCUUUAUCCUCAGCUGAGGCAGAGUAUCGAGCUAUGGCUAAGACCACAUGUCAAAUAGUGUGGAUGUGAGGUUUACUUAAGGAUCUUGGGAUAGAAGUGCAAGGACCAACCAGGCUUUAUUGUGAUAACGAUGCAGCCCUAAAACUUGCAGCAAAUCCUAUAGUACAUGAGAGAACCAAGCACAUUGAAGUCGACUGUCACUUCACUCGAGAAAAGAUACAAGAAGGCGUGAUUGAGACAAGAGGAAUUGGAACAAUGGAGCAGCCAGCAGAUAUAUUUACCAAGCCUCUAUGUCAAAGACAGCACGCAUAUCUGUUGAGCAAGCUAGGUGUCUUAGACAUAUACAGAUCACCAGCUUGAGGGGGAGUGUUGGAAGAUAUGCAGAAUCACGGAUUGCACAAUCAAGGAUCCGGAUUGAUUAUUGAUUUGAUUUGAAGAUUAGAAUUAUGUACAUAAUCAAUUAAGAUUAGAUCUAGCUAUAGAUUGAUUUGUAGAAUCAUUUAUUCCCUUUAUUUUUCAUACAGCUUGUAUUAUAUUUACAACAAGAAUUGUACAGAUUCAUCAUUGAAGUGAAUAGAAAGAAAACUGUUCCUUCUUCUUUCACAAAGGCCCAUUUAUGUUCGCUACUCUAUGACGCUGCAUGUUCAAAGCAAGCGCAAGCAUCAGAACGCUGAACAAACGCUCUGUUUGUCCAGCAAAGGCCGAGUAGAAACUUCUACACCAAACCACUCACUUCCUUGCACUAUCUCAUUCCAAAACACAUCACCAAAACUCCCAUGGGCAUAUCAUUUCACCAAUUUCCCAGCAAAGCAGCCGACGCGUAAACCCUAGAAAACUCAAUCGCAACAGGAAACACCAUUUCCGUGACACUGCAUGAUCAAAGCGACCGCGUGACCGAGCAUCAGAGUGCUGGACAACGCUCUGUUUGUCUAGCAAAGGCCGAGUAGAAACUUCUACUCCAAACCACAUAUCGUCUCCCUGAGUUACUGGCAAAGCAACCGACGCGUGAAUCCUUGAGACCUCAAUCGCAACCAGAAAGGCCAUUUUCCGUUCGCUAAAUCCGUGACGCUGCAUGUUCAAAGCAAGCGCGCGAUCAAGCAUCAAGAUGCCGAACAAACACUCUGUUUGUCUACUACACCGAACCGAUUGCUUCGUUGCACGAUCUCAUUAAAAAAAAAAAAAAGGAAGAAGAAGAACGUAAUCGUCUCUCGAAACGAUGAACUCGCGAGGAAGAUGACGACGGAGUCGACCCGUCGAAGAGAUGAUAAAAGGAAAGGAAAAGGCGCGAGAGCGACGUGAGAGCUGACCUUCGACGGCUCCUUCACGUAGAGAUAGGCGGCGAAGGAAGCCAGCAGGAUCAGCACCGGCAGGAUCCGCCAUUGCAGAUGCUUCAUUCCUCCCUCCCUCUCUCUCUAGAAUCUCGAUGACGCAGAAAGGAGAGAGAGCGCUUCGCAGAAAUUUG